RNAcentral lists this ribosomal RNA (166 nucleotides) under uncultured bacterium. Its description in RNAcentral is "partial 16S rRNA". It matches the Rfam family "Bacterial small subunit ribosomal RNA", at positions 355 to 511 of the family's 1533-position model. The record is from RNAcentral.
UAGGGAAUCUUCCACAAUGGACGAAAAGUCUGAUGGAGCAACGCCGCGUGAGUGAAGAAGGGUUUCGGCUCGUAAAAACUCUGUUGUUAAAGAAGAACAUAUCUGAGAGUAACUGUUCAGGUAUUGACGGUAUUUAACCAGAAAGCCACGGCUAAAUACGUGCCAG